This 253-nucleotide ribosomal RNA is filed under the name uncultured bacterium. Its description in RNAcentral is "partial 16S ribosomal RNA". It matches the Rfam family "Bacterial small subunit ribosomal RNA", at positions 524 to 776 of the family's 1533-position model. The record is from RNAcentral.
GACGGAGGAUGCAAGUGUUAUCCGGAAUCACUGGGCGUAAAGCGUCUGUAGGUGGUUUAAUAAGUCAACUGUUAAAUCUUGAGGCUCAACCCCAAAAUCGCAGUCGAAACUAUUAGACUAGGGGAUAGUAGGGGUAAAGGGAAUUUCCAGUGGAGCGGUGAAAUGCGUAGAGAUUGGAAAGAACACCGAUGGCGAAGGCACUUUACUGGGCUAUUACUAACGCUGAGAGACGAAAGCUAGGGUAGCAAAUGGG